RNAcentral lists this ribosomal RNA (468 nucleotides) under uncultured bacterium. Its description in RNAcentral is "partial 16S ribosomal RNA". It matches the Rfam family "Bacterial small subunit ribosomal RNA", at positions 28 to 507 of the family's 1533-position model. The record is from RNAcentral.
GACGAACGCUGGCGGCGUGCUUAACACAUGCAAGUCGAACGGAAAGGCCCUGCUUGCUUGGGGUGCUCGAGGGGCACACGGGUGUAAUACGCGUGAGUCAUCCGCUUUAGACUUGGGUAUACCUUCGGAACUGUGUGUAAUACACGGUACGGCCGCUCCCGGUGCAUGGUGGUGGUUGGAAGGUUUCGGGGGUUGGUGAUGGACUCCCGGCUUAUCAGCUUGUUGGUGGGGUAGUGGCUUACCAAGGCGUUGACGGGUAGCCGGCCUGAGAGGGUGACCGGCCACACUGGGACUGAGAUACGGCCCAGACUCCUACGGGAGGCAGCAGUGGGGAAUAUUGCACAAUGGGCGGAAGCCUGAUGCAGCAACGCCGCGUGCGGGAUGACGGCCUUCGGGUUGUAAACCGCUUUUGGCUGCGAAGAAGCGAGAGUGACGGUAAUGGGAGAGGAAGCACCGGCUAACUACGUG